UAGGACAGAGCCCAGAAAACAAGUCGGGGGAGGGAGGGUGCAAAGAUCAAGAUAAACUCCUCUCCCCAAAUCAUGUUUCAAUUCCUCAGUUUUACCUCCUUAGUCAACAGGGAGCCAUCUCUCUAGUUUCCCAGGCAAACCCUUAGGAACUGGGGCUUUAUUUGUGUGUUUUUAACCCAUUGUACAGAUUAUGAUUCCAUUAGUGAAGCCACACCUUGGGGGCCAUAGUGCCUUUCAUCUGCAAAGGGGCUCUGCAAAGACUGGUCAGUAAAAAUUAAACAUUUUAAUCUCUCAACGCCUCAUGGCUGCGAUAUUCCCCUCCUGUGUCAGCCAAGAGAGAAACAGCCGUGUUCAUCUACGAGCUCCUGGAGGAGCAGAGGCCACUCAGCCCCUGAUACUAUCUUGGGUGCCAUGUGUGUGUGGACCGUUUACGAUCCUGCAUGACAGAAAUCAGGUGCUGUGCCCACCCUGGGCCACCUUGGGGGCCAAGAGAGCUGAUGGUCACAUCCGGGGGGGUGGACAGAUAGGAAGAGGAGCACACCAGUCAAUGCAUGAGCCCGUUUCCAGCGAUCAGCGCCACGAAGGUCUGCUCUCUGGUGUAAACACGGCCUCAGCUAAAAGGUUGAAGUAAUGAUGAAGCUUCUCUGGAUUCAUUAUGUUCGCCGGGUUUCUCUCCCCCGUGGGAGCUGUGAUGUCAGAUAAGUGGCUUUUGGAAAGUGGGUGGUCAGGCUGCUGGCCUCCUUCGGGACUGGCCAGGGCAGGCUCAGUGGGUGUUGGCUGCAGAGGGAAGAUGUGUUGGAGGGAGGCAGCAGGUGCACAGGUGUGUGGACAAAUAUGUGGACAGAUAUGUGCACAGGUGUGUGGACAGGUGUGUGUGUGGACA
Macaca mulatta (Rhesus monkey) is the source of this 883-nucleotide non-coding RNA. NCBI's taxonomy places the organism in Eukaryota, Metazoa, Chordata, Mammalia, Primates, Cercopithecidae. The record is from RefSeq and is a predicted model, not a curated record.